UUACAGCCAUAUCAGGUUGAAACACCAACUCCCGUACGAUCACCAAAGUUAAGCAAUGUCAAGGCUGGUCAAUACCUAGAUGGGUGACCGCUUGGGAAAACCAUGUAUU
Molecule: non-coding RNA, 109 nt
Organism: Acanthosepion pharaonis
Lineage: Eukaryota; Metazoa; Mollusca; Cephalopoda; Sepiida; Sepiidae
Source: the annotation of a GenBank genome assembly